AGAAUCAACGCUGGCGGCGUGCCUAACACAUGCAAGUCGCACGAGAAAGCGGACUUCGGUCUGUGAGUAAAGUGGCGCACGGGUGAGUAACACGUGAAUAAUCUACCUUCGAGUGGGGAAUAACUGAGAGAAAUCUUAGCUAAUACCGCAUAACACUUACGAGUCAAAGCAGCAAUGCGCUUGAAGAGGAGUUCGCGGCAGAUUAGUUAGUUGGCGGGGUAAUGGCCCACCAAGGCGAUGAUCUGUAUCCGGCCUGAGAGGGCGCACGGACACACUGGAACUGAAACACGGUCCAGACUCCUACGGGAGGCAGCAGUGGGGAAUUUUGCGCAAUGGGGGAAACCCUGACGCAGCAACGCCGCGUGGAGGAUGAAAUCCCUUGGGAUGUAAACUCCUUUCGAUCGGGAAGAUAAUGACGGUACCGAGAGAAGAAGCCCGGCUAACUUCGUGCCAGCAGCCGCGGUAA
This 466-nucleotide ribosomal RNA is filed under the name uncultured bacterium. RNAcentral's name for it is "SSU rRNA". It matches the Rfam family "Bacterial small subunit ribosomal RNA", at positions 26 to 523 of the family's 1533-position model. The record is from RNAcentral.